CUACGGGAGGCUGCAGUGAGGAAUAUUGCACAAUGGAGGAAACUCUGAUGCAGCAACGCCGCGUGGAGGAUGACGCAUUUCGGUGUGUAAACUCCUUUUAUAUGUCAAGAAAAUGACGGUAGCAUAUGAAUAAGCACCGGCUAACUCCGUGCCAGCAGCCGCGGUAAUACGGAGGGUGCAAGCGUUACUCGGAAUCACUGGGCGUAAAGGACGCGUAGGCGGGAUAUCAAGUCAGGUGUGAAAUCCUACAGCUUAACUGUAGAACUGCACUUGAAACUGGUAACCCAGAGUAUGGGAGGGGGAGAUGGAAUUAGUGGUGUAGGGGUAACAUCCGUAGAUAUCACUAGGAAUACCUAAAGCGAAGGCGAUCUCCUGGAACAUAACUGACGCUAAGGCGUGAAAGCGUGGGGAGCAAACAGGAUUAGAUACCCGCGUAGUC
RNAcentral lists this ribosomal RNA (439 nucleotides) under uncultured bacterium. RNAcentral describes it as "partial 16S ribosomal RNA". It matches the Rfam family "Bacterial small subunit ribosomal RNA", at positions 339 to 795 of the family's 1533-position model. The record is from RNAcentral.